RNAcentral lists this long non-coding RNA (2211 nucleotides) under Salmo salar (Atlantic salmon). RNAcentral's name for it is "lncRNA (ENSSSAG00000088557.1, ENSSSAG00000093590.1)". Lineage: Eukaryota; Metazoa; Chordata; Actinopteri; Salmoniformes; Salmonidae. The record is from RNAcentral.
GUUGGGUUGGGUUGGGUUGGGUUGGGUUGGGUUGGGUUGGGUGGGGUGCAACAGUGUUUUGGCAUGGUGAUGGUUAUGGUAUGGGCUAGGUCGGGACAGGACCUCACAGACUUGCCUUCAUCCUCAUAGACUUGCCUACAUACUACUCUUUCUCUUGGUUCCUCAUGGGGGGAAAAAAAGGCUUCUACAAGAGAGAACCCAACAGAACACAUUUUCAUGUCAGGCCUACUUUGCUCUUUUAUACAGUCAUUUUAAUGUGCAUACAACGCUAUAGGGCUCCUGAAUUAUGAAAUUUGAUCAAUACAAAUGUAUAUUAUUGGUAAUUUAAUUGAUGCUGCUUCAAGGGAAUUUUGAGAACCAUAUGACAUGACCUUACAGUAAAGUCCCCACAUGGUAAAAUGACUAUUUGUGCCACUGUAGUAAAUAUUUUAGGAGCUGAUAAAAUAGCAGUAGGUACACUGUAGGAUGAUAGAUGGGUAGCAUAUUUAAUGGGUACAUUGUUACAAUGGGGAUGGUUUUUAGAUUGUGACAAGUAACCUCAACAUCAAUGGUAAUUUGUUAAUUAAGAUGCUAGUUACUCCAUGUCUUGACCUAGAAACUCAGUCUUGAAAUAAAACUCUCCCUUUCCUCUUUUCAAUAAAAAAAGUAAUUGCUUAUGGAUACUCCCCUCAUACAACUAUUUGGGUAGCCUAGUGGUUAGAACGUUGGACUAGUAACCAGCAGGUAGCCUAGUGGUUAGAACGUUGGACUAGUAACCAGCAGGUAGCCUAGUGGUUAGAACGUUGGACUAGUAACCAGCAGGUAGCCUAGUGGUUAGAACGUUGGACUAGUAACCAGCAGGUAGCCUAGUGGUUAGAACGUUGGACUAGUAACCAGCAGGUAGCCUAGUGGUUAGAACGUUGGACUAGUAACCAGCAGGUUGCCUAGUGGUUAGAACGUUGGACUAGUAACCAGCAGGUAGCCUAGUGGUUAGAACGUUGGACCAGUAACCAGCAGGUAGCCUAGUGGUUAGAGCGUUGGACUAGUAACCAGCAGGUAGCCUAGUGGUUAGAAUGUUGGACUAGUAACCAGCAGGUAGCCUAGUGGUUAGAGCGUUGGACUAGUAACCAGCAGGUAGCCUAGUGGUUAGAGCGUUGGACUAGUAACCAACAGGUAGCCUAGUGGUUAGAACGUUGGACUAGUAACCAGCAGGUAGCCUAGUGGUUAGAGCGUUGGACUAGUAACCAGCAGGUAGCCUAGUGGUUAGAACGUUGGACUAGUAACCAACAGGUAGCCUAGUGGUUAGAACGUUGGACUAGUAACCAGCAGGUAGCCUAGUGGUUAGAACGUUGGACUAGUAACUGUAAAGGUUGCAAGAUGUUGUUUAAAAAUGCAGUAAACCAACAUUGCCACUGUAGUAGGCUACAUGUUGUUUAAAACACAGUAAACCAACAUAGCUACUGUAGUAGGUCAAAGCUGUUAGUUGUAAAACCUUGGUAGUACAUGGGUAAAGUUAGGCCUUGGUGCCCCUUGUUAAACUUCUUCCAAGCACUCCAGAGUCCAGUCCAGUUAGAGGUUCUGAUGCUCUAAUUGUCCAGUUAGAGGUUUUUAUACUCUAAUUGUCCAGUCCUGUUAGAGGUUCUGAUGCUCUAAUAGUCCAGUCCAGUAAGAGGUUCUGAUGCUCUAAUAGUCCAGUCCAGUAAGAGGUUCUGAUGCUCUAAUAGUCCAAUCCAGUUAGAGGUUAUGAUGCUCUAAUAGGGUGUGGACAUGGAGGGUUGUGGAUCAGAGAUAAGACAGGUAACUGGCUUCACCACCCAGAGGGCAGGUCAUACCGCUUCCUGAGCUGCAUUCCUCUACCGGGGCGGGAGUGGAGCAGAAUAUAGUGUUAGCUAUCCCUCAAUAAGAGGCAGUACUCCAGACAGGCUGGAGAAGAGCAGAAUGUAGCGUUAGCUAUCCCUCAAUAAGAGGCGGUACUCCAGACAGGCUGGAGAAGAGCAGAAUGUAGCGUUAGCUAUCCCUCAAUAAGAGGCGGUACUCCAGACAGGCUGGAGAAGAGCAGAAUGUAGCGUUAGCUAUCCCUCAAUAAGAGGCAGUACACCUGACAGGCUGGAGUGGAGCAGAAUGUCUGCAGGAAGGAGAUGACAUUAUGGCUAAAUGGAGGUACUACGUCUGUCAAGAACUAUGUUGAUGAAAAUGUGUCAAGGUUUUACCUGUAAUUCUGUUGAAUUGCAG